RNAcentral lists this long non-coding RNA (808 nucleotides) under Chrysolophus pictus (golden pheasant). Its description in RNAcentral is "lncRNA (ENSCPIG00010002204.1)". Lineage: Eukaryota; Metazoa; Chordata; Aves; Galliformes; Phasianidae. The record is from RNAcentral.
CGCGAGGGCGGCCGGCCGGAGCGGUUUCAAACUUAGAAAACCGCGCUCUGAUCGCGGGAGCGGACGGACUCGUGCCGCCUCGGGUCCGAUUCCCCGAGCAGGUGUCAGGCGCGCGGGUGCUGCCGUGCCGGGCGCUCAGCCCGUAGCGGUUCUGACGAGCGGCUGGGUAGGGCUCCGGGGGCUGCAGCCACCGAGCUCAGUAACUUCGUUUAAAAGCAGUACAAACAGGCGCGUUUUCCCGAUUACAGACAAGCAGAGUUCUUCAGAUGUGCGUUGCACUUAAGAAGGAUGCGUGUGGCCUUGCGGGGUUACACACCGCCUUCAUAGGGAUGAAGCAGAAGUGCGGAUGUGGCCGGCUGGAAUGCUGGCGCUGCUGACAAGGACUGGUGAUUCGGAACCCUCUUCCCAAACCUGUUUCCCACUUUUUAUACAUAAGCGAUGCACAGAACGCAAGUUUAGGUCGCGGUGUAAUUGAUUCUCCUCAGAGCGCUCAGUCGAGUUGCCUGUUUUGAGUUCCACCCGAAUCCAUUGGCAGUGUGGCUCUCAGUACCUGUUCUGACACAGCACAAAAAUAAACUGUUUUAUGGAAGCAGGAAGGCUUGGUAGUGGUAGGACUUUGUGCGUUUGCCUAACAUGCUGUUGCAAGGACAAUCAGCAUGGAAAACCAGGACUUCGAGCUCUGCAUCUCUGCUUGAUCUUGACUUGCUGGGUGAUACGAGGAGCUGCUUCCCAGAUCCUCUUGAUUUUGUUUGAGAAGUUAGAAUUACCUGUAAUCAUUGGUAAACCAAGAGUCCCGAACGGAGAAUAA